AUUGAACGCUGGCGGCAGGCCUAACACAUGCAAGUCGAGCGAGCGGCGGACGGGGGAGUAAUGGUUGGGGACUGCCCGAUAGAUGGGGAUAAGUACUGGAAACGGCGGCUAAUACCGCGUACUGUCCGAUUAACCAUUUGGGAUGAGCUAGUGGGUAAGGUAAUGGCUUACCUAGGCGGCGAUCCCUAGCUGGUCUGAGAGGAUGAUCAGCCACACUGGGACUGAGACACGGCCCAGACUCCUACGGAGGCAGCAGUGGGGAAUAUUGGACAAUGGGCGCAAGCCUGAUGCAGCCAUGCCGCGUGUAUGAAGAAGGCUCUAGGGUUGUAAAGUACUUUCAGUCGGGAGGCGGUACCGACAGAAGAAGCACCGGCUAACUCCGUGCCAGCCGCCGCGGUAAUAC
This 403-nucleotide ribosomal RNA is filed under the name uncultured bacterium. RNAcentral describes it as "partial 16S ribosomal RNA". It matches the Rfam family "Bacterial small subunit ribosomal RNA", at positions 30 to 526 of the family's 1533-position model. The record is from RNAcentral.